GCCAGCGUGGCGGAACUGGUAGACGCAGCGGACUCAAAAUCCGCCGGGGCAACCCAUGAGGGUUCGAGUCCCUCCGCUGGUA
RNAcentral lists this transfer RNA (82 nucleotides) under Caminibacter mediatlanticus TB-2. RNAcentral's name for it is "tRNA-Leu". It matches the Rfam family "tRNA". From Rfam's summary of the family: Transfer RNA (tRNA) molecules are approximately 80 nucleotides in length. Lineage: Bacteria; Pseudomonadati; Campylobacterota; Epsilonproteobacteria; Nautiliales; Nautiliaceae. The record is from RNAcentral.